RNAcentral lists this ribosomal RNA (468 nucleotides) under uncultured bacterium. RNAcentral's name for it is "partial 16S ribosomal RNA". It matches the Rfam family "Bacterial small subunit ribosomal RNA", at positions 28 to 507 of the family's 1533-position model. The record is from RNAcentral.
GAUGAACGCUGGCGGCGUGCUUAACACAUGCAAGUCGAACGGAAAGGCACUGCUUUUUUGGCGUGCUCGAGUGGCGAACGGGUGAGUAAGACGUGCGUAACCUGCCCUUGCCUUUGGGAUAACUUCAGGAAACUGGGGCUAAUAACUGAUAGAAGUUCCUUCUGCCUGGUGUGGGUUGGAAAGGUUCGGCGGUUGGGGAUGGAAUCGCGGCUUAGCAGCUUGUUGGUGGGGUGGUGGCUUAGCAAGGCUGUGGCGGGUAGCCGGCCGUAGAGGGUGACCGGCCACAGAGGGAGUGAGGUACGGCCCAGACUCCAACGGUGGGCAGUAGUGGGGAAUGGGGCACAGUGGGAGGAAGCGAGAUGCAGUAACGCCGCGUGCGGGAUGACGGCUUUCGGGUUGUAAACCGCUUCCGCCUGUGACGGAGCGUGAGUGGAGGGAAUGGGUAAAGAAGCACCGGCUAACUACGUG